Long non-coding RNA from Capra hircus (goat), 1302 nucleotides. Lineage: Eukaryota; Metazoa; Chordata; Mammalia; Artiodactyla; Bovidae. The record is from Ensembl.
AAAAAGUCUAUUUCCUGGUAUGUUAUACAUUUAAUGUGGAGGACAGUGGACCAAAGGGGAUUCAGUGUCUAUCUACAAAAGAGUUGAAGAACCGCCAGUGAGAAGAGAAAAUUGUCUCGUUCUAUGUGAUUCCAGAAGGCUAAGGACUGGGAAUGGAAAUUCCAAAACUCAAUCUACAUCUAAUUACAGGAUUGCUUUCCUGGGACAAGUUAGAGUAAUGGUCAGUGGUGACUAUUGUGUAGAACAGGAUUUGGUCACUAAGCAUUCAUUUGUUCCCCUUUUCUGUUUGGACUGAUUCCUUCAAUACCUCUCUUCUUUCCUUUCAUCAUCGUUCCGUUGCAGCUGACUCACCCCCCUGCCAACUGUGGCAUGUGAACUGAGCCUGGGAUAUCAGAGCACUGCACAGACCUACCCCCCUUCUCACAAUAAUGAAUGGAUCAGGGACGGGCACCAGCCCAAAUUAGGCCAAUUAGAGCCAAAAACAAUUCUGGGUUUCUUUGAAUCAUCGAGGUGUGGAUCUUGACCUACUGGCUCUGAAGGACAAAAACAGAGGGCUGCAGCUGCCAUUGUGCCACCACAAGGGGAGUCCACUUGAGAAGAAGAGGAGAGCUCAGAGUAAAUAUGGGAAUAAAGAUUAAACCCUGGUGACAUUGAUGGAGUCUUGAUUAUGCCAAGACUGAAAGUAUGAAGUUAGAUUAUUCAUGUUCUGAGAUAUGAUGCAAUAAAUCCCCAUUUUGCUUAAGCUAGCUUGAGUUGAGUUUUCUGCCACUUGAAAUAGAAAGAGCUUUAUCAAAAAUGGAUAGUAUGCUUGGGAUUGGUGCAUGGGGAUGACCCAGAGAGAUGUUAUGGGGAGGGAGGUAGGAGGGGGGUUCAUGUUUCGGAACGCAUGUAAGAAUUAAAGAUUUUAAAAUUUAAAAAAGAAAAUAAAGGACACCUCUGCCAUGGAAAAAAAAAAAACAUGGAUAGUAAAGCCUCCACUCACAGCAUUUACGCAGAAGAGGAUGACCAGCCUUCAGAAGAGAGCUGCCCAGGUCAGAGUCUGGUAAUAAAUCUCCUGUUGGAUGUUCAGAAGAGGCUCCAGCAUCCCUGUGAAGCUGAAGAGAGAGACGAGCCUGGGACAAAUAUCUGGGAGGCAAUCAGAGGUCCUUAUCAAGGUGGAGAGGUCGGUGUGGUGGGAAUCCUCAGAAUUGUCAGAAGCUAUUCUCUGAUUUCUCUCCGUCGCCCCUUGUCUCUCUUGGUUGAAAACUGUAUUCCAGCUUCUGAAAGAGGUGUCCGUUGUCUUUUUGGCCUGUUCAUUUUUGC